GAUUUUCGCAAUGCCCGAAAGGGUGACUAUGCGACGCCGCGUGCAGGAUGAAGGCCUUCGGGUUGUAAACUGCUGUCAGGGGGGAAGAAACCCUGCCGUUGAACAGAUGGCAGGCUGACAUCACCCCCAAAGGAAGCCACGGCUAACUCCGUGCCAGCAGCCGCGGUAAGACAGAGGUGGCAAGCGUUGUUCGGAUUUAUUGGGUGUAAAGGGUCCGUAGGUGGUUAUGCAAGUCUGGCGUGAAAUCCCACAGCUCAACUGUGGAACUGCGUCGGAAACUGCAUGACUUGAAUAUCGGAGAGGUGAGGGGAAUUCUCGGUGUAAGGGUGAAAUCUGUAGAUAUCGAGAGGAACACCAGUGGCGAAGGCGUCUCACUGGCCGAUUAUUGACACUGAGGGACGAAAGCUAGGGGAGCAAACAGGAUUAGAUACCCUGGUAGUCCUAGCUGUAAACGAUGGGCACUAAGUAGAGGGGUUUUAAUC
RNAcentral lists this ribosomal RNA (482 nucleotides) under uncultured bacterium. RNAcentral describes it as "bacterial SSU rRNA". It matches the Rfam family "Bacterial small subunit ribosomal RNA", at positions 359 to 836 of the family's 1533-position model. The record is from RNAcentral.